This 252-nucleotide ribosomal RNA is filed under the name uncultured bacterium. RNAcentral's name for it is "partial 16S ribosomal RNA". It matches the Rfam family "Bacterial small subunit ribosomal RNA", at positions 524 to 776 of the family's 1533-position model. The record is from RNAcentral.
UACGUAGGUGGCGAGCGUUGUCCGGAUUUACUGGGCGUAAAGAGCGCGCAGGCGGCUGGUCAAGUCCGAUGUGAAAGCUCCCGGCUUAACUGGGAAAUUGCAUCGGAAACUGAUCGGCUGGAAGGUGGGAGAGGGUAGCGGAAUUCCCGGUGUAGUGGUGAAAUGCGUAGAUAUCGGGAGGAACACCAGUGGCGAAAGCGGCUACCUGGCCCAUUCUUGACGCUGAGGCGCGAAAGCUAGGGAGCAAACGGG